This 470-nucleotide ribosomal RNA is filed under the name Bacillus pumilus. RNAcentral's name for it is "bacterial SSU rRNA". It matches the Rfam family "Bacterial small subunit ribosomal RNA", at positions 22 to 475 of the family's 1533-position model. The record is from RNAcentral. Lineage: Bacteria; Bacillati; Bacillota; Bacilli; Caryophanales; Bacillaceae.
GCUCAGGAUGAACGCUGGCGGCGUGCCUAAUACAUGCAAGUCGAGCGAACAGAAGGGAGCUUGCUCCCGGAUGUUAGCGGCGGACGGGUGAGUAACACGUGGGUAACCUGCCUGUAAGACUGGGAUAACUCCGGGAAACCGGAGCUAAUACCGGAUAGUUCCUUGAACUGCAUGGUUCAAGGAUGAAAGACGGUUUCGGCUGUCACUUACAGAUGGACCCGCGGCGCAUUAGCUAGUUGGUGGGGUAAUGGCUCACCAAGGCGACGAUGCGUAGCCGACCUGAGAGGGUGAUCGGCCACACUGGGACUGAGACACGGCCCAGACUCCUACGGGAGGCAGCAGUAGGGAAUCUUCCGCAAUGGACGAAAGUCUGACGGAGCAACGCCGCGUGAGUGAUGAAGGUUUUCGGAUCGUAAAGCUCUGUUGUUAGGGAAGAACAAGUGCGAGAGUAACUGCUCGCACCUUGACGG